ACCCGCUGAACUUAAGCAUAUCAAUAAGCGGAGGAAAAGAAACCAACAGGGAUUGCCCUAGUAACGGCGAGUGAAGCGGCAACAGCUCAAAUUUGAAAUCUGGCGCAAGCCCGAGUUGUAAUUUGUAGAGGAUGCUUCUAGGUAGCGACCGGUCUAAGUUCCUUGGAACAGGACGUCAUAGAGGGUGAGAAUCCCGUAUGUGACUGGCCCGCACCUUCUACGUAGCUCCUUCGACGAGUCGAGUUGUUUGGGAAUGCAGCUCUAAAUGGGAGGUAAAUUUCUUCUAAAGCUAAAUACCGGCCAGAGACCGAUAGCGCACAAGUAGAGUGAUCGAAAGAUGAAAAGCACUUUGGAAAGAGAGUUAAAAAGCACGUGAAAUUGUUGAAAGGGAAGCGCUCACAACCAGACUUCUAGGCAGUGUUCCGCCGGUCUUUUGACCGGUCUACUCUCUGUCUCGAGGCCAACAUCAUCUGGGACCGCCGGAUAAGACCUUAGGAAUGUAGCUCCCCUCGGGGAGUGUUAUAGCCUCUGGUGAUGCGGCGCGUCUCGGGUGAGGUCCGCGCUUCGGCAAGGAUGUUGGCGUAAUGGUUGUCAGCGGCCCGUCUUGAAACACGGACCAAGGAGUCUAACAUCUAUGCGAGUGUUCGGGUGUCAGACCCCUACGCGUAAUGAAAGUGAACGGAGGUGGGAAGCGUAAGCUGCACCAUCGACCGAUCCUGAUGUCCUCGGAUGGAUUUGAGUAAGAGCAUAGCUGUUGGGACCCGAAAGAUGGUGAACUAUGCCUGAAUAGGGUGAAGCCAGAGGAAACUCUGGUGGAGGCUCGCAGCGGUUCUGACGUGCAAAUCGAUCGUCAAAUUUGGGUAUAGGGGCGAAAGACUAAUCGAACCAUCUAGUAGCUGGUUCCUGCCGAAGUUUCCCUCA
This 921-nucleotide ribosomal RNA is filed under the name Ramularia endophylla. RNAcentral describes it as "LSU rRNA". It matches the Rfam family "Eukaryotic large subunit ribosomal RNA", at positions 23 to 975 of the family's 3401-position model. The record is from RNAcentral. Lineage: Eukaryota; Fungi; Ascomycota; Dothideomycetes; Mycosphaerellales; Mycosphaerellaceae.